This is a small RNA of 76 nucleotides. It matches the Rfam family "Actinobacteria sRNA Ms_IGR-7", at positions 44 to 118 of the family's 118-position model. The record is from Rfam.
UCCAAUCAUCGCAGCUCAGAGGGCACUUUCCCUAUUGCGACACCCGGUCACCCGGUCAAUUCUUCGGUGGAUCGAG